GAGGGAAGAAAAGUAAAGUUAAAGUAAGAGAAAAGAAAUAAAGAUAAGAGGGGAAGGACAGUGANGACGAGAUGAAGAGGUGGACAGGAGGAUAGGAGAGCUGCGGGUGACACGCUCCAGCAAAGNUNUAUUUAAAAUUUAGUCCCGGUUCAGGAUGUAAGCCGGCGGCUUCCUAAAUCAUGCCAGUCGGACGAACCAGAAGAGGGGCUUGUUCCUCGGAGUUAGCGGGCGGACGGGUGAGUAACACGUGGAUACCCUACCUAUAAGACUGGGAUAACUUCGGGAAACCGGAGCUAAUACCGGAUAACAUGUUGAACCGCAUGGUUCAACAGUGAAAGACGGUCUUGCUGUCACUUAUAGAUGGAUCCGCGCCGCAUUAGCUAGUUGGUAAGGUAACGGCUUACCAAGGCAACGAUGCGUAGCCGACCUGAGAGGGUGAUCGGCCACACUGGAACUGAGACACGGUCCAGACUCCUACGGGAGGCAGCAGUAGGGAAUCUUCCGCAAUGGGCGAAAGCCUGACGGAGCAACGCCGCGUGAGUGAAGAAGGUCUUCGGAUCGUAAAACUCUGUUAUUAGGGAAGAACAAAUGUGUAAGUAACUAUGCACGUCUUGACGGUACCUAAUCAGAAAGCCACGGCUAACUACGUGCCAGCAGCCGCGGUAAUACGUAGGUGGCAAGCGUUAUCCGGAAUUAUUGGGCGUAAAGCGCGCGUAGGCGGUUUUUUAAGUCUGAUGUGAAAGCCCACGGCUCAACCGUGGAGGGUCAUUGGAAACUGGAAAACUUGAGUGCAGAAGAGGAAAGUGGAAUUCCAUGUGUAGCGGUGAAAUGCGCAGAGAUAUGGAGGAACACCAGUGGCGAAGGCGACUUUCUGGUCUGUAACUGACGCUGAUGUGCGAAAGCGUGGGGAU
Molecule: ribosomal RNA, 911 nt
Filed under: Staphylococcus sp. XXO
Lineage: Bacteria; Bacillati; Bacillota; Bacilli; Caryophanales; Staphylococcaceae
Description: bacterial SSU rRNA
Rfam family: Bacterial small subunit ribosomal RNA (bases 127-911)
Source: RNAcentral